This 245-nucleotide ribosomal RNA is filed under the name uncultured bacterium. RNAcentral describes it as "partial 16S ribosomal RNA". It matches the Rfam family "Bacterial small subunit ribosomal RNA", at positions 524 to 768 of the family's 1533-position model. The record is from RNAcentral.
GACGUAGGGGGCAAGCGUUGUUCGGAAUCAUUGGGCGUAAAGCGCUCGUAGGCGGUCAGUUAAGUCGGGUGUGAAAACCCAGGGCUCAACCCUGGGCCUGCAUUCGAAACUGAUUGACUUGAGUCCAGAAGAGGCAAGUGGAAUUCCCGGUGUAGCGGUGAAAUGCGCAGAUAUCGGGAAGAACACCAGUGGCGAAGGCGGCUUGCUGGGAUGUGACUGACGCUGAGGAGCGAGAGCUAGGGGAG